RNAcentral lists this ribosomal RNA (522 nucleotides) under Carabus yuae guixiensis. Its description in RNAcentral is "partial 16S ribosomal RNA". The stretch from base 396 to 522 matches the Rfam family "Bacterial large subunit ribosomal RNA", at positions 2473 to 2599 of the family's 2925-position model. Lineage: Eukaryota; Metazoa; Arthropoda; Insecta; Coleoptera; Carabidae. The record is from RNAcentral.
GUCCUUUUGUUUUUUAUUUAAGGUCUAGUCUGCCCACUGAAUUUUGUAUUUUAAAUGGCCGCAGUAUUUUGACUGUGCAAAGGUAGCAUAAUCAUUAGUUUUUUAAUUAAAAGCUUGUAUGAAAGGCUGGACGAGGUAAGAUCUGUCUCUAUAUAAAUUAUUAUAGAAUUUAACUUUUAAGUCAAAAGGCUUAAAUAUUAUUAAAAGACGAGAAGACCCUAUAGAGCUUUAUAGUUUAUAAAAUAAAAUUAAUUUAGAAAUAUUAAUAUUUUAUUUUUUAAAAUUAUUUUAUUGGGGUAAUAAAAAGAUUGAAUUAAUUCUUUUUUAUUAUAAACAUUGAUUUAUGAAUAUAAAAUGAUCCAAUUUUAUUGAUUAUAAGAUUAAGUUACCUUAGGGAUAACAGCGUAAUUUUUUUAGAGAGUUCAUAUCGAUAAAAAAGUUUGCGACCUCGAUGUUGGAUUAAAGAUUAUUUUAGGUGUAGAAGCUUAAUAAAUUUGGUCUGUUCGACCAUUAAAUCUUUAC